This 253-nucleotide ribosomal RNA is filed under the name uncultured bacterium. RNAcentral's name for it is "partial 16S ribosomal RNA". It matches the Rfam family "Bacterial small subunit ribosomal RNA", at positions 524 to 776 of the family's 1533-position model. The record is from RNAcentral.
UACGUAGGUGGCAAGCGUUGUCCGGAUUUACUGGGCGUAAAGAGCGCGCAGGCGGUCGUUCAAGUCGCGUGUGAAAGCCCCCGGCUCAACUGGGGAGGGUCACGCGAUACUGAUCGACUCGAAGGCAGGAGAGGGUAGUGGAAUUCCAGGUGUAGCGGUGAAAUGCGUAGAUAUCUGGAAGAACACCGGUGGCGAAGGCGGUCAACUGGCCCUCAACUGACGCUGAGGCACGAAAGCGUGGGGAUCAAACAGG